UGGCAGAUGAAAGAACUGAACCCCCAAAACCAAACCCCUUUUCCCAGAGACCUGCCCAUACUUUACAGGGCAGUCAAGCAGCCUGUUCUUACAGGUGAGUGAGCCCUACAUGGACAAUGCCAACUGGCAGCAUCAGAACAUCAGAUUUGAAGGGAAGCUGUUCAGGACCCAAAACUACUGAAGCUGAAGAUGACUCAAUUUUCUCUGAGGAAGAAGAAGAAAAGCCACACAAUGACCAAUUGGUGGUACUGCCAACAAAAUCCUGGGGCCCAUCGUAAGAAAGGUCUAUAAAGCCCAAAAUUGCAGAACCAGUCCCCCCUGCUACACCAAAUCCUGAAGAAAACCCAACAGAAGGGGCAGAUGAGGCCCAGGAGAAAAAGAUACCUUACUGCCCACCCUCCUUUACUUGGCAACCACUCUUCUUUCUGCAACCACUGGGAUUUUCUACAUUUGAGGAUUUCCUCACUGUGUAAUUUUAUCUGCCAAAAACCUACUUUGUCCAUCCUAGACCAGAAGAGUCC
RNAcentral lists this long non-coding RNA (521 nucleotides) under Vombatus ursinus (common wombat). RNAcentral describes it as "lncRNA (ENSVURG00010016471.1)". The record is from RNAcentral. Lineage: Eukaryota; Metazoa; Chordata; Mammalia; Diprotodontia; Vombatidae.